GCUGUUUUUGGUUAUUAUCUUGAAUAUUAUUAUAGAUAGAGAUUAACUGUAAACAGCAAUAAUGUUCAGCAAUGUAAGAUUUACAAAUAAGUCAACAUGACUGAAAUGGUCAAUUGACCCCUAAGGAGUUAUUGUCCUUUAUAGUCAAUUUUUAACAAUUUUCAUAAAAUUUGUAAAUAUUUACUAACAUUUUCCACUGAAACUACUGGCCAAGUUCAUUAUAGAUAGAGAUAAUUUUAAGAAGCAAGAAUGUUCAGUAAAGUAAGAUGUACAAACACAUCACCAUCACCAAAACACAGUUUUGUCAUGAAUCCAUCCUCUUCCUUUGUUUAAUAUUCACAAAGACCAAGGUGAGCGACACAGGCUCUUUAGAGCCUCUAGUUUUUCAAUCCUGGUUGCUGUUUUUGUCACCUGC
Molecule: long non-coding RNA, 415 nt
Filed under: Mytilus galloprovincialis (Mediterranean mussel)
Lineage: Eukaryota; Metazoa; Mollusca; Bivalvia; Mytilida; Mytilidae
Source: RNAcentral